GUAGGCAUAGUUUAAACAAAACAUUAGAUUGUGAUUCUAAUAAUAGAAGUUAGAACCCUCUUGCCCACC
This 69-nucleotide transfer RNA is filed under the name Diretmus argenteus (silver spinyfin). RNAcentral's name for it is "tRNA-His". It matches the Rfam family "tRNA". Rfam says of the family: Transfer RNA (tRNA) molecules are approximately 80 nucleotides in length. The record is from RNAcentral. Lineage: Eukaryota; Metazoa; Chordata; Actinopteri; Trachichthyiformes; Diretmidae.